This 430-nucleotide unclassified non-coding RNA is filed under the name soil metagenome. Its description in RNAcentral is "partial contains 5.8S ribosomal RNA, internal transcribed spacer 2, and large subunit ribosomal RNA". The stretch from base 1 to 120 matches the Rfam family "5.8S ribosomal RNA", at positions 35 to 154 of the family's 154-position model. The record is from RNAcentral.
GAUGAAGAACGUAGCGAAAUGCGAUACGUAAUGUGAAUUGCAGAAUUCAGUGAAUCAUCGAAUCUUUGAACGCAUAUUGCGCUCUCUGGUAUUCCGGAGAGCAUGCUUGUUUGAGUAUUAGUAAACACCUCAACUCCCUUUUCUUUUUUGAAAUUGGAGCUGGACUUGAGUGAUCCCAACGCUUUCUUCCAAGAAAGUGGCGGGUUGCUUGAAAUGCAGGUGCAGCUGAACUUUUCUCUGAGCUAUAAGCAUAUCUAUUUAGUCUGCCUAAAAAACAGAUUAUUACCUUUGCUGCAGCUAACAUAAAGGAGACUAGUUCUUGUGCUGACUGAUGCAGGAUUCACAGAGACAGCUUCGGCUGACUUUGUAAACUCGAUCUCAAAUCAAGUAAGACUACCCGCUGAACUUAAGCAUAUCAAUAAGCGGAGGA